CAAUACCUAGUGGCAGACGGGUGAGUAACGCGUGGUCAACCUACCGUUGAGUGGGGGAUAACUAGCCGAAAGGUUAGCUAAUACCGCAUACGAGUCUCGGGGGCAUCCCUGGGCCUUAAAAGGAGCAAUCCGCUCGAUGACGGGACCGCGUCCCAUUAGCUAGAUGGUGGGGUAAUGGCCUACCAUGGCACCGAUGGGUAGCUGGUUUGAGAGAGCGACCAGCCACACUGGGACUGAGAAACGGCCCAGACUCCUACGGGAGGCAGCAGUGAGGAAUUUUCCGCAAUGGGCGAAAGCCUGACGGAGCGACGCCGCGUGUGGGAAGAAGGCCUUCGGGUCGUAAACCACUGUCGAAGGGGACGAUAAUGACGGUACCCUUGGAGGAAGCCCCGGCUAACUACGUGCCAGCAGCCGCGGUAAG
RNAcentral lists this ribosomal RNA (421 nucleotides) under uncultured bacterium. Its description in RNAcentral is "bacterial SSU rRNA". It matches the Rfam family "Bacterial small subunit ribosomal RNA", at positions 86 to 524 of the family's 1533-position model. The record is from RNAcentral.